This 430-nucleotide ribosomal RNA is filed under the name uncultured bacterium. Its description in RNAcentral is "bacterial SSU rRNA". It matches the Rfam family "Bacterial small subunit ribosomal RNA", at positions 947 to 1377 of the family's 1533-position model. The record is from RNAcentral.
UAAUUCGAAGCAACGCGAAGAACCUUACCAGCCCUUGACAUCCUGCUGGCAGCCCGGUAAUGCGGGCUUUCCUACGGGACAGCAGAGACAGGUGGUGCAUGGUUGUCGUCAGCUCGUGUCGUGAGAUGUUGGGUUAAGUCCCGCAACGAGCGCAACCCCUGCUUACAGUAGCCAGCAGCAAGGCUGGGCACUCUGUAAGGACUGCCGGGGAUAACCCGGAGGAAGGCGGGGACGACGUCAAAUCAUCAUGCCCCUUAUGGGCUGGGCUACACACGUGCUACAAUGGCGCCAACAGAGUGAGGCGAACCUGCGAGGGGGAGCAAAGCACAAAAAAGGCGUCCCAGUUCGGAUUACAGCCUGCAACCCGGCUGUAUGAAGCUGGAAUCGCUAGUAAUCGCAGAUCAGAAUGCUGCGGUGAAUACGUUCCCGG